GAUGAACGCUGACAGAAUGCUUAACACAUGCAAGUCUUUGGCGAAGCUGUGCUUGCACAGCCUAGCCAAGGCGGACGGGUGAGUAACGCGUAAGGGACUUGUCCUGCAGUCAGGGAUAACAGACGGAAACGACUGAUAAAACCUGGUAAAGUCAGGCGGACUCAUGUCCAGCCUGAUGAAAAGGAAUGCUGCAGGAGAGCCUUGCGUCCUAUUAGCUCGUUGGUGGGGUAACGGCCCACCAAGGCGAUGAUAGGUAGCCGGCCUGAGAGGGUGGACGGCCACAAGGGGACUGAGAUACGGCCCUUACUCCUACGGGAGGCAGCAGUGGGGAAUAUUGGACAAUGGGGGCAACCCUGAUCCAGCAAUUCUGUGUGCACGAUGAAGGUCUUCGGAUUGUAAAGUGCUUUCAGCAGGGAAGAAAAAAAUGACGGUACCUGCAGAAGAAGCGACGGCUAAAUACGUGCCAGCAGCCGCGGUAAUACGCAUGUCGCGAGCGUUAUCCGGAAUUAUUGGGCAUAAAGGGCAUCUAGGCGGCCGGAUAAGUCUGGGGUGAAAACUUGCGGCUCAACCGCAAGCCUGCCCUGGAAACUAUGCGGCUAGAGUACUGGAGAGGUGGACGGAACUGCACGAGUAGAGGUGAAAUUCGUAGAUAUGUGCAGGAAUGCCGAUGAUGAAGAUAGUUCACUGGACGGUAACUGACGCUGAAGUGCGAAAGCUAGGGGAGCAAACAGG
Molecule: ribosomal RNA, 732 nt
Filed under: uncultured Leptotrichia sp.
Lineage: Bacteria; Fusobacteriati; Fusobacteriota; Fusobacteriia; Fusobacteriales; Leptotrichiaceae
Description: bacterial SSU rRNA
Rfam family: Bacterial small subunit ribosomal RNA
Source: RNAcentral